CUUAAGUAAGUCCCUUUUAGGACAUCAUAAAAUGUAAACGAUACGUAGAAGAUUAACAUGCCUUCUGCACGAGAAUGAUUACGUGUAAAAUAAAAACAAUUUUUUUUU
Small nuclear RNA from Solanum stenotomum, 108 nucleotides. Lineage: Eukaryota; Viridiplantae; Streptophyta; Magnoliopsida; Solanales; Solanaceae. The record is from RefSeq and is a predicted model, not a curated record.